Molecule: unclassified non-coding RNA, 708 nt
Filed under: Hevea brasiliensis (rubber tree)
Lineage: Eukaryota; Viridiplantae; Streptophyta; Magnoliopsida; Malpighiales; Euphorbiaceae
Source: RNAcentral
AUUUGAAGAAUGCAUUUGAGGUAUGAACUCCUCUUUUCUUGAACAUUCAUUUAAUUGGCAUUGCAAACAUUAGCUGUUUUGGAUGUUAUGUUUUUAAAGUCUAUCAGCAUAUUUUAUAAUUGGAAAUCAUUCCCUGAUUAAAUUGGCCACCUUGUGCGGUUAUAAUCUUGAACUUUAUGGAUUCAUUAGGGCAUCUGAGUUAUAUUGAUACACUAAGUUGGUUAUAAGCACUGGACCACAAACAUGUGUGUCACAUGUAGGAGCAGGGGCUGUUAGGGUUAACUGAUGUUGUUGAGUAGUUGUAAUUCUGUUGAACAGUUGUAGCCAUUGUAGCUGAAUAACUAGAAGUUGUUAGGGAGUGAAUAUGGCGGGAACAGUGAAGAAGGAAGAUAAAUCUGUAUAAAUAAUACCAAGUGUAACAGAAGAUUCAUUCUAAGAAAUAUCAAGAAUUCUUGCAAUUACUUUGGCUAUCUUAUGUUCAGAGGACCUCAAAUCUACUUGUUUUAUACUGUUGAGAAAUUGGUUUGAAUAAAUUACUUUGGCUAUCUUAUGGUUGUUUAAUCUUUAGACAUUUUGAGAACGAGUAAGAAUUAAUAUGCACUUGCUCUCAUUCAUAUCUUUGUUGUUGAUUACAUAAAUGCUUUGAUCAAACUUGAUUCUGAUCUUCCUAAAACUCUGGGUUGUAGGGUGAGAUGGCAAAGUUUCCUU